UCUACGGGCGGCAGCAGUGAGGAAUAUUGGUCAAUGGGCGCGAGCCUGAACCAGCCAAGUCGCGUGAGGGAAGACGGUCCUAUGGAUUGUAAACCUCUUUUGUCGGGGAGCAAAAGACGCCACGUGUGGCGUUCCGAGAGUACCCGAAGAAAAAGCAUCGGCUAACUCCGUGCCAGCAGCCGCGGUAAUACGGAGGAUGCGAGCGUUAUCCGGAGUGACUGGGUGUAAAGAGUUGCGUAGGUGGCAUAAUAAGUAGCUAGUGAAAUCUGGUGGCUCAACCAUUCAGACUAUUAGCUAAACUGUUAAGCUCGAGACCGUUAGGGGUAACUGGAAUUUCUAGUGUAGGAGUGAAAUCCGUAGAUAUUAGAAGGAACACCAAUAGCGUAGGCAGGUUGCUGGGACGGUUCUGACACUAAGGCACGAAAGCGUAGGGAGCAAACGGGAUUAGAUACCCUUGUAGUC
RNAcentral lists this ribosomal RNA (462 nucleotides) under uncultured bacterium. Its description in RNAcentral is "partial 16S ribosomal RNA". It matches the Rfam family "Bacterial small subunit ribosomal RNA", at positions 338 to 795 of the family's 1533-position model. The record is from RNAcentral.